RNAcentral lists this non-coding RNA (81 nucleotides) under unclassified sequences. RNAcentral describes it as "int-alpA RNA". It matches the Rfam family "int-alpA RNA". From Rfam's summary of the family: Acidobacteria (1 example), Planctomycetes (1 example), Proteobacteria. Environment (Lake Washington) The record is from Rfam by way of RNAcentral.
UCCCCGGCUAGGCAUGGACUAGCUACCCAUGCCGAAAAGGCGGAACCCUUGCCGCCCUGCCGAGGGAGACCAAAAGAGCGU